This 37-nucleotide ribosomal RNA is filed under the name Pisonia grandis mycobiont. RNAcentral describes it as "partial 28S ribosomal RNA". Lineage: Eukaryota; Fungi; Basidiomycota; Agaricomycetes; Thelephorales; Thelephoraceae. RNAcentral also lists the same sequence under 3 other names. The record is from RNAcentral.
UGAUCUCAAAUCAGGUAGGACUACCCGCUGAACUUAA